GACGAGCCUCACGAACGUUAUUCGGAAUUACUGGGCUUAAAGGGUGCGUAGGCGGUGCGGAAAGUUGGGUGUGAAAUCCCUCGGCUCAACCGAGGAACUGCGCCCAAAACUACCGUACUCGAGGAAGAUAGAGGUGAGCGGAACUUACGGUGGAGCGGUGAAAUGCGUUGAUAUCGUAAGGAACACCCGUGGCGAAAGCGGCUCACUGGGUCUUUUCUGACGCUGAUGCACGAAAGCUAGGGGAGCAAACGGG
Molecule: ribosomal RNA, 253 nt
Filed under: uncultured bacterium
Lineage: Bacteria
Description: partial 16S ribosomal RNA
Rfam family: Bacterial small subunit ribosomal RNA
Source: RNAcentral